GGAUAUGAGGGUGAUCUGACUGUGAUUUUGACAUCUGUCACCCCACUGAUUGCCAGGGUUGACUCAGCUGAUCUGGCCGGCUAGGUGGGAGUCCCCUUCCUCCCCCACCACUCCGUGUGCAACCCUUGUCCCUCCCAAAGCUGUGUGCUCCACCCCCACAGAAGAAGACUGUUUCCUUGGUCAGCAGUACGUGAGUAGCCCCACUAGAACCUCCAAACAAGAAUGCCCAGAUCGUACACGAGGACAAUAAAAGAUGGAGAUUUGAGAUCAAUAAGGAAAAAAAGAAAAAACCCUCCACAUUAGCAUCAUAUUGGUUCCAGAUAUCUGU
This is an unclassified non-coding RNA of Fukomys damarensis (Damara mole-rat), 328 nucleotides long. Its record names the gene 7SK. It matches the Rfam family "7SK RNA". From Rfam's summary of the family: 7SK was discovered as an abundant small nuclear RNA in the mid-70s but a possible function has only recently been suggested. Two independent studies have found that 7SK RNA binds the CDK9/cyclin T complex (known as elongation factor P-TEFb). The record is from Ensembl. Lineage: Eukaryota; Metazoa; Chordata; Mammalia; Rodentia; Bathyergidae.